Molecule: long non-coding RNA, 725 nt
Organism: Uranotaenia lowii
Lineage: Eukaryota; Metazoa; Arthropoda; Insecta; Diptera; Culicidae
Exons: 3
Source: RefSeq, a predicted model, not a curated record
UGGGACCAUUAAAAAGUUGAAUACGAGUGUCCUGCUCGUUUGCAGGUUCCUGGAGGAUUUUCCAUUGGGUAUUGUGAUGGCCGUUCCGACAAACCUUCGGCGGAUGGAGAGUUUCGAAUGACUGCUAGCAAGUUUGAUGAAGGUAUCGGCGCAAAGGACAUCAAUUGCCCCAGUUAGGAUAACUGGAAUCCGAAUCGGAACAAUAUUCCGAAUUAAAGGAGGUAGACAAAGUUUGAGAAGUCGCCUUGUGGCAUCAGCAGGAAGUACGGCUGGACUCGAUACAGUUCAGCAAGAAGAUCGGAAUAGAGGAGAAUGAAAUUCAUGUGCUGUACCCGAAAGUGUGAUGGCUCAUUAACGUUUGCGGGCGGACUGCCAUUCUUCAAUACCCUCUGAUUCGUACGGAGAAUAUCACCAGUAUUAAGUGGUGUCCUUGAGAAAUAUUGAAUUCCGGAAGUGCAACCUGAUUCAAGCAAGCAAGCUAAUCAAAAAUUGGCUUAGUUAACCGAGGAGGAGCCACCGGAAUGCCAUAGGAAGAGCAAACACACCACCAAGUAACAGGUAAGGAAGGAUUGUUGGUAGUUUAUUUAAAAAGCAUGAGUGUUAUACAAGUACAUACAUACCUGCUGACCUUUCUGAGAUAUAAAUCCGGUUUUUUUCUUAGUUUAUUUUUUGUAGCAGUGUUUAACCCUUGUGGCACUGUUUAUUAAUUUUUUUUUUCAUCCAAU